UACGAGAGGGGCGAGCGUUAUUCGGAAUUACUGGGCGUAAAGCGUGCGCAGGCGGCUUUGCAAGACAGAUGUGAAAUCCCCGGGCUCAACCUGGGAACUGCAUUUGUGACUGCAAGGCUAGAGUACGGCAGAGGGGGAUGGAAUUCCGCGUGUAGCAGUGAAAUGCGUAGAUAUGCGGAGGAACACCGAUGGCGAAGGCAAUCCCCUGGGCCUGUACUGACGCUCAUGCACGAAAGCGUGGGGAGCAAACAGG
RNAcentral lists this ribosomal RNA (253 nucleotides) under uncultured bacterium. RNAcentral's name for it is "partial 16S ribosomal RNA". It matches the Rfam family "Bacterial small subunit ribosomal RNA", at positions 524 to 776 of the family's 1533-position model. The record is from RNAcentral.